Molecule: ribosomal RNA, 406 nt
Filed under: uncultured bacterium
Lineage: Bacteria
Description: partial 16S ribosomal RNA
Rfam family: Bacterial small subunit ribosomal RNA
Source: RNAcentral
AUUGAACGCUGGCGGCAGGCCUAACACAUGCAAGUCGAACGAGUGGCGGACGGGUGAGUAAUAUCUGGGAAACUGCCUGAUGGAGGGGGAUAACUACUGGAAAAGGUAGCUAAUAACGCAUACCAUCAGAUGUGCCUAGGUCGGAUUGGCUAGUUGGUGGGGUAAAGGCCUACCAAGGCGACGAUCCGCAACUGGUCUGAGAGGAUGCUCAGUCACACUGGAACGGAGACACGGUCCAGAAUCCGACGGGAGGCAGCAGUGGGGAAUAUUGGACAAGGGGCGAAAGCCUGAUCCAGCCAUGCCGCGUGUGUGAAGAAGGUCUUCGGAUUGGAAAGCACAUGAAGUUGGGGUGCGGUACCAACAGAAUAAGCACCUGCUAACUUCGUGCCAGCAGCCGCGGUAAUUC